RNAcentral lists this ribosomal RNA (464 nucleotides) under uncultured bacterium. RNAcentral describes it as "partial 16S ribosomal RNA". It matches the Rfam family "Bacterial small subunit ribosomal RNA", at positions 28 to 507 of the family's 1533-position model. The record is from RNAcentral.
GACGAACGCUGGCGGCGUGCUUAACACAUGCAAGUCGAACGAUGAAGCCAGCUUGCUGGUGGAUUAGUGGCGAACGGGUGAGUAACACGUGGGUGAUCUGCCCCAAACUUUGGGAUAAGCCUGGGAAACUGGGUCUAAUACCGAAUAUGACCGAUACUCGCAUGGGUGUUGGUGGAAAGCUCCGGCGGUUUGGGAUGGGCCCGUGGCCUAUCAGCUUGUUGGUGGGGUAAUGGCCUACCAAGGCGACGACGGGUAGCCGGCCUGAGAGGGCGACCGGCCACACUGGGACUGAGACACGGCCCAGACUCCUAUGGGAGGCAGCAGUGGGGAAUAUUGCACAAUGGGCGCAAGCCUGAUGCAGCGACGCCGCGUGAGGGAUGACGGCCUUCGGGUUGUAAACCUCUUUCACCAGGGACGAAGCGAAAGUGACGGUACCUGGAGAAGAAGCACCGGCCAACUACGUG